UACGAAGGGGGCUAGCGUUGCUCGGAAUCACUGGGCGUAAAGGGUGCGUAGGCGGGUCUUUAAGUCAGGGGUGAAAUCCUGGAGCUCAACUCCAGAACUGCCUUCGAUACUGGCUUUCUAGAGGCUGGAAGAGGUUAGUGGAAUUCCCAGUGUAGAGGUGAAAUUCGUAGAUAUUGGGAAGAACACCAGUGGCGAAGGCGGCUAACUGGUCCAGAUCUGACGCUGAGGUGCGAAAGCGUGGGGAGCAAACAGG
This 253-nucleotide ribosomal RNA is filed under the name uncultured bacterium. RNAcentral describes it as "partial 16S ribosomal RNA". It matches the Rfam family "Bacterial small subunit ribosomal RNA", at positions 524 to 776 of the family's 1533-position model. The record is from RNAcentral.